UGGGGAAUAUUGGACAAUGGGCGAAAGCCUGAUCCAGCCAUGCCGCGUGUGUGAAGAAGGUCUUCGGAUUGUAAAGCACUUUAAGUUGGGAGGAAGGGCAGUAAGCGAAUACCUUGCUGUUUUGACGUUACCGACAGAAUAAGCACCGGCUAACUCUGUGCCAGCAGCCGCGGUAAUACAGAGGGUGCAAUCGUUACUCGGAAUUACUGGGCGUAAAGCGCGCGUAGGUGGUUCGUUAAGUUGGAUGUGAAAGCCCCGGGCUCACCCUGGGAACUGCAUCCAAAACUGGCGAGCUAGAGUAGGGCAGAGGGUGGUGGAAUUUCCUGUGUAGCGGUGAAAUGCGUAGAUAUAGGAAGGAACACCAGUGGCGAAGGCGACCACCUGGGCUCAUACUGACACUGAGGUGCGAAAGCGUGGGGAGCAAACAGG
This 429-nucleotide ribosomal RNA is filed under the name Acidobacteriota bacterium. RNAcentral's name for it is "Acidobacteria bacterium partial 16S ribosomal RNA". It matches the Rfam family "Bacterial small subunit ribosomal RNA", at positions 355 to 776 of the family's 1533-position model. The record is from RNAcentral. Lineage: Bacteria; Pseudomonadati; Acidobacteriota.